GGGCAAUUGGUCUAGUGGUAUGAUUUCCCCUUAGCAAUCUCGUGAACCGCGAGAGAAACUUGGGGAAGGUCCUGGGUUCAAUUCCCAGAUUGUCCA
Molecule: transfer RNA, 96 nt
Filed under: Venturia inaequalis
Lineage: Eukaryota; Fungi; Ascomycota; Dothideomycetes; Venturiales; Venturiaceae
Rfam family: tRNA
About the family: Transfer RNA (tRNA) molecules are approximately 80 nucleotides in length. Their secondary structure includes four short double-helical elements and three loops (D, anti-codon, and T loops).
Source: Rfam by way of RNAcentral